AAGUCGUAACAAGGUUUCCGUAGGUGAACCUGCGGAAGGAUCAUUAACACUUUUCUCCAAAAACCUUAUCCAAUUUCCUUUGGAUAUGGCACCCCCUUUUACAAGUGAACCAUUGUUAGGAAGUGCUUCAUAGCGGCAGGCGCUACACGCCCCUCCGUUCCCUGACCGCUUCCGCUUUUUUUCUCCUUUUUCCUAACACAAACCCCAUUGAAUUUCUAAAACUGAACCUUUUGGGGAGUUUUCUCGAAAGAGAAAAGCACCCCUUUCCUAAGAAAAUGUUGAAACAACUCUUAGCAACGGAUAUCUUGGCUCUC
Molecule: unclassified non-coding RNA, 314 nt
Filed under: fungal sp.
Lineage: Eukaryota; Fungi
Description: partial internal transcribed spacer region
Rfam family: Eukaryotic small subunit ribosomal RNA (bases 1-46)
Source: RNAcentral